UUGUGUACAUAAGGAAACUACUCACAAUCAUGGGUUGAAUUAUCAUCAAGUGGAAGAGAGUUUGAAAUUUGAGGAACUCUUUGUAUGCCUUUUAAGUCGGUCAUGUAGCGGGCUCUCAAUGACCAGCCUACGGCUACAUGGUGAGCCCUCACUGGUCGACUUGCCAUAUCAGUUAUGAUCAAUUUCGAGGCAUAUAUCAAAAACCAGCGGAUAUUAUGAGGGAGAUAUCCCAGGAAUUGAAGCAGCUAGUGUCAAAUCCCUGUAGGUUUGACUUUGAUAGCUGGUUGGGCAUAAGAGCUAAUGUUAGAUUUGCAUCCCCUCCCCUUUGUAGCGUGAUAUUAUUAAGGAUUUGCUUCCAUUUUGGACUUACAUUGCUUGCAAAUUGGGAAAUAUCAGUAAUAUCAGAUCUUGGGAAGAUUGCACUUAAAACCAAGUUCCUACCUCUUCUUUCCAUCUCGAGCAGAGAUCAUGGCAGGUUCUGAUUAGCCAAAAUAAUCUAUAUAAAAAAAUAUUUCUCCACUGAGAACCAGUCGUUCCAGCUGGACGAACCGAGCUUAUAUGGCAACUAGAAAAUUGCCACAUGCCCUGUUUGAAGGAAUUUGCUGCAAACGGAGUUGUAGAAAAUUUAUAUUCUACAAGCUUUCAAACUUUACGAAAAGCUUCUUCUAGAGCAAACAUUUAGAUCGAUCUGCCAGUCCUGAAUCUUCGUAAUUGGCAUGGAUUCAGCUGACAGAGAAGGCAAACACCAUUCCAGAGAGAUCAGAGACAGAUCAUGACAACAUACGAACAAUUUUAAGCUCAAAAGAGAAGAAAAGGAAAAGCAAUAAGUUCAUGUAACUUGGAUUAUUAGGGCAACGCAAACUGGGAUUACUAAAGAAUGGGAUGCGCUAUGAAACAAAUACUCCAAAUAGAGGCAACAUGUUCUGUGUAUGAAAGUGUUAAACUCCUCAAGUUGCAUUCACUAGCAUGCCAAAAAGCAUGAACUAUGGAAUGGUCAAAGAUAUCAAGGAGUUAGGCCACUAAAAAGAACUUGCCUUACCACUGAUGCAAUACAUGAUUGUUUACAUCUCAAUCACUAGCCAUGUACAAGCACUAGCAGAUACAGUGCCACUAAAUAUCAACCCUCCCCAACCAUCUCUCUGGGAGUCAUAUGUGUAAAUCUGAAUGUAGCCAGAAAUCACUGCAUUUAAAAAACAAAAGUAAUUUUCAAUGGAUAGGGGAGCAGAGCACUAAAACAUCUGAGAUUCUGACGGCUAACUUGUGCCAGACCAAGUUAAUACACUGUGCCAACCCAAUUUAUCUAUUAGGGACCCAACACCAGAAUUGGACUCUAGGGGAUGUCCUCAAGAACCUAGGCAUGCCUCAACAGAUGAAUAUUUGCAUAUAGAUUCCAUAUUACAUAAUAAGAUUUCAGCGUGACAGAUUAUUACCAGGUGAAAAAUGCUGUCUAACAAGAUGAUAACCUAACUAUCAGCUUACUUGUACCUACAACUAAAACAGGCUGAUCAAAAAUUACCACCCAAAUAUAAGAAGUCCUACUUCCAAGACACUGAUAUAGAAAAUUAAGCAUGAAUCUGGGAACAAAAAAUCUCGGAUACAGUAGCAGAAUAGCUCCAUUUCAGGGAGUUUUUAUAGAAUAGGUUUGUAGACAAUAUUGUCUUACUAGAAACAACGGAAGUUACCAAUUACAGAUCAUUACAAUCAAGACAUGGAGUGCAAGUGUCUAUUGUCAUAUAACACACAACAUGCCCCGAGGACACAAGCAGAGGUAAAUCAAUUAUCUGUCCUCAGGCAAGCCAUCCUGGCAUGUAAUUACUCACACUUGGGCCAGGCGCU
Molecule: non-coding RNA, 1836 nt
Organism: Phoenix dactylifera (date palm)
Lineage: Eukaryota; Viridiplantae; Streptophyta; Magnoliopsida; Arecales; Arecaceae
Source: RefSeq, a predicted model, not a curated record